AGUCACUGACAUUAGAUACCCCCGUAGUCCAGGGUGUAAACGCUGCAGACUUGGUGUUGGGAACCCUUCGGGGGUGCUCAGUGCCGGAGAGAAGUUGUUAAGUCUGCUACUUGGGAGUACGUCCGCAAGGAUGAAACUUAAAGGAAUUGGCGGGGGAGCACCGCAACGGGAGGAGCGUGCGGUUUAAUUGGAUUCAACGACCGAAAACUCACCAGCAGCGACUGUUACAUGAAAGUCAGGUUGAUGACCUUACUAGAUUUUCAG
Molecule: ribosomal RNA, 264 nt
Filed under: uncultured archaeon
Lineage: Archaea
Description: partial 16S ribosomal RNA
Rfam family: Archaeal small subunit ribosomal RNA
Source: RNAcentral